This 401-nucleotide unclassified non-coding RNA is filed under the name soil metagenome. RNAcentral's name for it is "partial contains 5.8S ribosomal RNA, internal transcribed spacer 2, and large subunit ribosomal RNA". The stretch from base 1 to 120 matches the Rfam family "5.8S ribosomal RNA", at positions 35 to 154 of the family's 154-position model. The record is from RNAcentral.
GAUGAAGAACGCAGCGAAAUGCGAUAAGUAAUGUGAAUUGCAGAAUUCAGUGAAUCAUCGAAUCUUUGAACGCACCUUGCGCCCUUUGGACUUCUGAAGGGCAUGCCUGUUUGAGUAUCAUGAACACCUCAACUCCUUAUGGUCUUCCAUGAUGAGCUUGGACUUUGGGGGUUUUGCUGGCCUACAGUCAGCUCCUCUAAAAUAAAUCAGCUUACCGGUGUUUGGUGGGUAUCAUGGGUGUGAUAACUAUCUACGCUCGUGGUUUUCCACCAGGUAACCUUCAGCAGUGGAGGUUCACUGGAGCUCAUAGAUGUCUCUCCUCAGCGAGGACAGCCCUUUGAAUGUUUGAUCUCAAAUCAGGUAGGACUACCCGCUGAACUUAAGCAUAUCAAAAGCGGAGG